This 496-nucleotide ribosomal RNA is filed under the name uncultured bacterium. RNAcentral's name for it is "partial 16S ribosomal RNA". It matches the Rfam family "Bacterial small subunit ribosomal RNA", at positions 29 to 507 of the family's 1533-position model. The record is from RNAcentral.
AUGAACGCUGGCGGCGUGCCUAAUACAUGCCAGUCGAGCGAACGGACGAGAAGCUUGCUUCUCUGAUGUUAGCGGCGGACGGGUGAGUAACACGUGGAUAACCUACCUAUAAGACUGGGAUAACUUCGGGAAACCGUAGCUAAUACCGGAUAAUAUUUUGAACCGCAUGGUUCAAAAGUGAGAGACGGUCUUGCUGUCACUUAUAGAUGGAUCCGCGCUGCAUUAGCUAGUUGGUAAGGUAACGGCUUACCAAGGCAACGAUGCAUAGCCGACCUGAGAGGGUGAUCGGCCACACUGGAACUGAGACACGGUCCAGACUCCUACGGGAGGCAGCAGUAGGGAAUCUUCCGCAAUGGGCGAAAGCCUGACGGAGCAACGCCGCGUGAGUGAUGAAGGUCUUCGGAUCGUAAAACUCUGUUAUUAGGGAAGAACAUAUGUGUAAGUAACUGUGCACAUCUUGACGGUACCUAAUCAGAAAGCCACGGCUAACUACGUG